Camellia sinensis is the source of this 191-nucleotide non-coding RNA. The record is from RefSeq and is a predicted model, not a curated record. NCBI's taxonomy places the organism in Eukaryota, Viridiplantae, Streptophyta, Magnoliopsida, Ericales, Theaceae.
GCAAAAAUAAGCUUAAAUCAAUGGAUGAGGUCAGAUCUCUUUUAAGCUUACGUGCAUUGAUCUUGAAUGAUAAUGAGAUUGUUUCCAUUUGCAGGCUUGAUCAAUUGAAAGAAUUGAACACUUUAGUUCUUUCUAGAAAUCCAAUCAAUAAACUUGAAGAGUCACUGGUCAAGGUGAAAUCAAUCACGAAG